RNAcentral lists this ribosomal RNA (333 nucleotides) under Salmonella enterica subsp. enterica serovar Kentucky. Its description in RNAcentral is "partial 23S ribosomal RNA". It matches the Rfam family "Bacterial large subunit ribosomal RNA", at positions 1338 to 1671 of the family's 2925-position model. Lineage: Bacteria; Pseudomonadati; Pseudomonadota; Gammaproteobacteria; Enterobacterales; Enterobacteriaceae. The record is from RNAcentral.
CGGAAGACCAAGGGUUCCUGUCCAACGUUAAUCGGGGCAGGGUGAGUCGACCCCUAAGGCGAGGCCGAAAGGCGUAGUCGAUGGGAAACGGGUUAAUAUUCCCGUACUUGGUGUUACUGCGAAGGGGGGACGGAGAAGGCUAUGUUGGCCGGGCGACGGUUGUCCCGGUUUAAGCGUGUAGGUGUGUGUUCCAGGUAAAUCCGGUUCACUUUAACACUGAGGCGUGAUGACGAGGCACUACGGUGCUGAAGCAACAAAUGCCCUGCUUCCAGGAAAAGCCUCUAAGCAUCAGGUAACAUCAAAUCGUACCCCAAACCGACACAGGUGGUCAGG